This 465-nucleotide ribosomal RNA is filed under the name uncultured bacterium. Its description in RNAcentral is "partial 16S ribosomal RNA". It matches the Rfam family "Bacterial small subunit ribosomal RNA", at positions 28 to 507 of the family's 1533-position model. The record is from RNAcentral.
GACGAACGCUGGCGGCGUGCUUAACACAUGCAAGUCGAGCGAGGCCCCUCCUUCGGGAGGGUGUCCUAGCGGCGAACGGGUGAGUAACACGUGGGCAACCUGCCCUCAGCUCUGGGAUAACUCCGGGAAACCGGGGCUAAUACCGGAUACGACCUCCACGGGCAUCUGCGGAGGUGGAAAGUUUUUCGGCUGAGGAUGGGCCCGCGGCCUAUCAGCUAGUUGGUGGGGUAGUGGCCCACCAAGGCGACGACGGGUAGCCGGCCUGAGAGGGCGACCGGCCACACUGGGACUGAGACACGGCGCAGACUCCUACGGGAGGCAGCAGUGGGGAAUAUUGCGCAAUGGGCGAAAGCCUGACGCAGCGACGCCGCGUGAGGGACGAAGGCCUUCGGGUUGUAAACCUCUUUCAGCAGGGACGAAGCGAAAGUGACGGUACCUGCAGAAGAAGCACCGGCCAACUACGUG